This 484-nucleotide ribosomal RNA is filed under the name uncultured bacterium. RNAcentral describes it as "partial 16S ribosomal RNA". It matches the Rfam family "Bacterial small subunit ribosomal RNA", at positions 29 to 507 of the family's 1533-position model. The record is from RNAcentral.
AUUGAACGCUGGCGGCAUGCUUUACACAUGCAAGUCGAACGGCAGCGCGGGCUUCGGCCUGGCGGCGAGUGGCGAACGGGUGAGUAAUACAUCGGAACGUGCCCCGUAGUGGGGGAUAGCUCGGCGAAAGCCGGAUUAAUACCGCAUACGACCUGAGGGUGAAAGCGGGGGAUCUUAGGACCUCGCGCUAUUGGAGCGGCCGAUGGCAGAUUAGCUAGUUGGUGGGGUAAAGGCCUACCAAGGCGACGAUCUGUAGCUGGUCUGAGAGGACGACCAGCCACACUGGGACUGAGACACGGCCCAGACUCCUACGGGAGGCAGCAGUGGGGAAUUUUGGACAAUGGGCGAAAGCCUUAUCCAGCAAUGCCGCGUGUGUGAUGAAGGCCUUCGGGUUGUAAAGCACUUUUGGCGGGAACGAAAAGGACUGUGCCAAUACCACGGUUCGAUGACGGUACCCGCAGAAUAAGCACCGGCUAACUACGUG